RNAcentral lists this ribosomal RNA (397 nucleotides) under Abelocephala sp. 1 MF-2017. RNAcentral's name for it is "eukaryotic LSU rRNA". It matches the Rfam family "Eukaryotic large subunit ribosomal RNA", at positions 727 to 1079 of the family's 3401-position model. The record is from RNAcentral. Lineage: Eukaryota; Metazoa; Arthropoda; Insecta; Hemiptera; Reduviidae.
AUUAUCAAGGGAAGAUGGAAAUAUUAUACAAGUAACAAAUUUUUGUUAAUUUAUAAUAAUUUCCCGCAUUCCCAGGGCGUUUGUUACUCUCAUGAGAGUCUAUGCGCACCUAGAGCGUACACGAUGAUACCCGAAAGAUGGUGAACUAUGCCUGGCCAGGACGAAGCCAGGGGAAACCCUGGUGGAGGUUCGCAGCGAUUCUGACGUGCAAAUCGAUCGUCAGAGCUGGGUAUAGGGGCGAAAGACCAAUCGAACCAUCUAGUAGCUGGUUCCCUCUGAAGUUUCCCUCAGGAUAGCUUGCGCUCGAUUUUAAGAGUCUCAUCCGGUAGAGCGAAUGAUUAGAGGCAUUGGGGUCGAAACGACCUCAACCUAUUCUCAAACUCCAAAUAGAUGAGAU